AGCUUUGCGCAGUGGCAGUAUCGUAGUCAAUGAGGUUUAUCCGAGCGUGAUUAUUGCUAAUUGAAAGAGUUAAAAGAUANNN
This 82-nucleotide small nuclear RNA is filed under the name Tupaia belangeri (northern tree shrew). RNAcentral's name for it is "U4 spliceosomal RNA (ENSTBEG00000020655.1)". The stretch from base 1 to 68 matches the Rfam family "U4 spliceosomal RNA". Rfam says of the family: U4 small nuclear RNA (U4 snRNA) is a component of the major U2-dependent spliceosome. The structure of U4 snRNA from yeast and human has been reported. The record is from RNAcentral. Lineage: Eukaryota; Metazoa; Chordata; Mammalia; Scandentia; Tupaiidae.